Molecule: long non-coding RNA, 3519 nt
Filed under: Xyrichtys novacula (pearly razorfish)
Lineage: Eukaryota; Metazoa; Chordata; Actinopteri; Labriformes; Labridae
Source: RNAcentral
AACUUGAGUUUGAGGAAAUUGUUAAACUUGUGAUUCAGGUGUUGGAUUAACUUGAGUUAAUGUGUUUGUUGAAAUUGAGUUUGUGUGGUUUUUUUUUAACUUGAGGGUUUGGAAUUUGUUAAACUUGAAAAUUGGGUAUUGGUUAAACUUGAGUUUGUGUGCUUUUUGAACUUGAGUUUGUGGUAUGUUUGAACUUGAGUUUGUGGCGUUUGUCGGACUUGAGUUUGAGUCAUGUUUUAACUUGAUUUUGUGGUGUAUUUGAACUUGAGUUUGUGUGUUUGUUGAACUUGAGUUUGUGUUUGUUGAACUUGAGUUUGUAUCAUGUUUGAACUUGAGUUUGUAGUGUUUUUGAACUUGAGUUUGUGUUGUGAUUGAACUUGAGCUUGUGUUGUGUUUGAACUUGAGUUUUUGGUGUUUUUGAACUUGAGUUUAUGGCGUUUGUUGAACUUGAGUUUCUGUUGUGUUUUAAAUUUAAUUUGUUUUUUGUUUUUGAACUUGAGUUUGUGUCGUGUUUGAACUUGAGUUUGUGUCGUGUUUGAACUUGAGUUUGUGGUGUUUUUGAACUUGAGGGUGUGGUGUUUUUGAACUUGAGGGUGUGGAAUUAUUUAAACUUGAGAAUCAGAUGUUUGUUGAACUUGAGUUUGUGUUGUGUUUGAAAUUUAAUUUGUUUUUUGUUUUUUAAACUUGAAUUUAUGUUGUGUUUGAACUUGAGUUUGUGGCGUUUGUUGAACUUGAGUUUCUGUUGUUUUUGAACUUGAGGUAUUGGAAAUUGUUCAACUUUAGAAUCAGGUGUUGGUUGAACUUGAGUUUGUGUGUUUUUUGAACCUGAGUCUGUGGUGUUUUUAAACUUGAAUUUGUGGUGUUUUUUAACUUGAGUUUGUGUGUUUUUUGAACUUGAGUUUGUGUUGUGUUUGAACUUUAGUUUGUGUCGUGUUUGACCUUGAGUUUGUGUUGUGUUUGAACUUGAGUUUGUCGUGUUUUUGAACUUGAGUUUGUGUAGUGUUUGAACUUGAGUUUGUGUUGUGUUUGAACUUGAGUUUGUGGUGUUUUUGAACUUGAGUUUGUGUCGUGUUUGAACUUGAGUUUGUGGCGUUUGUUUAACUUGAGUUUCUGUUGUUUUUGAACUUGAGGUAUUGGAAAUUGUUAAACCUUAGAAUCAGAUGUUGGUUGAACUUGAGUUUGUGUGUUUUUUGAACCUGAGUUUGUUCCGUGUUUCAACUUUAGUUUGUGGUGUUUUCGAACUUGAGUUUGUGUCAUGUUUGAACUUGAGUUUGUGGUGUAUUUUAACUUGAGUUUGUGUGUUUGUUGAACUUGAGUUUGUGUUUGGUAAACAUGAGUUUUUUUUAAGAACUUGAGUUUCAGUUGUUUUUGAACUUGAUUUUGUGGAAAUUGUUAAACUUGAUAUUCAGAUGUUGGUUGAACUUAAGUUUGUGUUUGUUGAACUUGAGUUUGUGUCAUGUUUGAACUUGAGUUUGUAGUGUUUUUGAACUUGAGUUUGUGUUGUGAUUGAACUUGAGUUUGUGUUGUGUUUGAACUUGAGUUUAUGGCGUUUGUUGAACUUGAGUUUGUGUUGUGUUUGAAAUUUAAUUUGUUUUUUGUUUUUGAACUUGAGUUUCUGUCGUGUUUAACUUGAGUUUGUGGUGUUUUUUAACUUGAGGGUUUGGAAUUUGUUAAACUUGAAAAUUGGGUAUUGGUUAAACUUGAGUUUGUGUAUUUGUUGAACUUGAGUUUGUGGUGUUUUUGAACUUGAGUUGGUAUCGUGUUUAAACUUGAAGUAUUUUUGUGUUUGAACUUGAGUUGCGUGUUUGGUGAACAUGAGUUUUCGUGUUUGGUGAACAUGAGUUUUCGUGUUUUUUGAACUUGAGUUUCAGUUGUUUUUCAACUUGAUUUUGUGAAAGUUGUUAAACUUGAGAUUCAGAUGUUGGUUGAACUUGAUUUUGUGUUUGUUGAACUUGAGUUUUUGUCGUUUUUGAACUUGAGUUUCUGUUGUUUUUGAACUUCAGUUGUGUGUUUGGUGAAAGUAGGUUUGUGUUUUUUUAAACUUGAGUUUUUUUUUUGAACUUGAGGUUGUGGAAUUUGUUAAACUUGAGAAUAAGGUAUUGUGGUUGAACUUGAGUUUGUGUGUUUUUCGAACUUGACUGUGUUGUUUUUGAACUUGAGUUUGUGUCGUUUUUUUAAUUUGAGGUUGUGGAAAUUGUUAAACUUGAGAAUCAGUUGUUGGUUGAACUUGAGUUAGUGUGUUUGUUGAACUUGAGUUUGUCUCGUGUUUGAACUUGAGAUUGUGGUGUAUUUUAACCUUGAGUUAGUGUUUUUUUUAACUUUAGUUUGUCACGUGUUUGAACUUUAGUUUGUAGAUUUUUUGAACCUGAGUUUGUGUCGUGUUUGAACUUUAGUUUGUGUUGUGCUUGAACUUGAGUUUGUGUCGUGUUUGAACUUGAGAUAUUUUCAUGUUUAACUUGAGUUGAGUGUUUGUUGAACAUGAUUUUUCGUGCUUUUUGAACUUGAGUUUCAGAUGUUUCUUAACUUGAUUUUGUGGAAGUUAUUAAACUUGAGAUUCAGAUGUUGGUUGAACUUGAUUUUGUCUUUGUUGAACUUGAGUUUGUGUCAUGUUUGAACUUGAGUUUUUAGUGUUUUAGAACUUGAGUUUGUGCUGUUUUUGAACUUGAGUUUGUAUUGUGUUUGAACUUGAGUUUAUUGCGUCUGUUGAACUUGAGUUUGUGUGUUUGUUGAACUUGAGUUUGUCUCGUGUUUGAACUUGAGUUUGUGGUGUUUUUGAACCUGAGUUUGUGUCGUGUUUGAACUUGAGUUUGUGUUGAACUUGAACUUGAGUUUGUGUGUUUGUUGAACUUGAGUUUGUGUUGUGUUUGAACUUGAGUUUGUGGUGUUUUUGAACUUGAGUUGGUCUCGUGUUUGAACUUGAGUUUGUGGCGUUUCUUGAACUUGAGUUUGUGUCAUGUUUGAACUUGAGUUUGUGGUGUAUUUGAACUUGAGUUUGUGUGUUUGUUGAACUUGAGUUUGUGUUUGGUGAACAUGAGUUUUCGUGUUUUUUGAACUUGAGUUUAAGUUGUUUUUUAACUUGAUUUUGUGGAAGUUGUUAAACUUGAUAUUCAGAUGUGGUUGUGGUUGAACUUGAGUUUGUGUUGUGUUUGAACUUGAGUUUGUGGUGUUUUUGAACUUAAGUUUGUAUUAUGUUUGAACCUGAGUUUAUGGCGUUUGUUGAACUUGAGUUUGUGUUGUGUUUGAAAUUUAAUUUGUUUUUUGUUAUUGAACAUGAGUUUGUGUCAUGGUUGAACUUGAGUUUGUGGAGUUUGUUGAACUUGAGUUUUUGUUGUGUUUGAACUUGAGUUUUUGCUGUUUUUGAACCUGAGUUGUUUGUUUGGUGAAAUUGAGUUUGUGUUUUUUUUAUCUUGAGGUUGUGGAAUUUGUUAAACUUUAGAAUCAGGUGUUGGUUGAACUUGAGUUAGUGUGUUUUCUGAACUUGAGUUUGUGUUGUGUUUGACCUUGAGUUUGUGAUGUUUU